This 23-nucleotide non-coding RNA is filed under the name Arabidopsis thaliana (thale cress). The record is from RNAcentral. Lineage: Eukaryota; Viridiplantae; Streptophyta; Magnoliopsida; Brassicales; Brassicaceae.
AUUUACGGUAUACGUACGUACAC